Molecule: non-coding RNA, 72 nt
Organism: Thermoplasmatales archaeon
Lineage: Archaea; Methanobacteriati; Thermoplasmatota; Thermoplasmata; Thermoplasmatales
Source: Rfam
GCGGCUGUAGUGUAGCGGUUAGCACUUGGGCCUUCCAAGCCCACGACCCGGGUUCAAAUCCCGGCAGCCGCA